This is a long non-coding RNA of Oryzias melastigma (Indian medaka), 244 nucleotides long. RefSeq lists it as uncharacterized. The record is from RefSeq and is a predicted model, not a curated record. The transcript has 2 exons. Lineage: Eukaryota; Metazoa; Chordata; Actinopteri; Beloniformes; Adrianichthyidae.
CCUUCCUUCAGCCUUGGACCUCCCUUCUGGACUACGGACUUUUCACACCCUCUCCGCCUCCUCCUCCCUUACUGCUGUGUUUCCUGUUGCCUCAUCCUGAGCAGAGAUCACACUCCAUUUCUUCCAGCCACUACUCCAUCUUCAAGACAAGUUCUGCACCUCCUGGUGGCUGGAGGAGAUCCCUACACUGACUCACCUGUUCCUGCUUAUCCUCCUGCAGCCUUAAAUAAAUCAUUGUCAUCUG